UACGUAGGACCCAAGCGUUGUCCGGAUUUACUGGGUGUAAAGGGCGCGUAGGCGGGUUAGCAAGUCAGAGGUGAAAUACUACAGCUUAACUGUAGAACUGCCUUUGAAACUGCUAAUCUUGAGUGCGGAAGAGAGAGACGGAAUUCCAGGUGUAGCGGUGAAAUGCGUAGAUAUCUGGAGGAACACCAGUAGCGAAGGCGGUCUCUUGGUCCGUUACUGACGCUCAGGCGCGAAAGCGUGGGGAGCAAACAGG
Molecule: ribosomal RNA, 253 nt
Filed under: uncultured bacterium
Lineage: Bacteria
Description: partial 16S ribosomal RNA
Rfam family: Bacterial small subunit ribosomal RNA
Source: RNAcentral